RNAcentral lists this ribosomal RNA (332 nucleotides) under Streptomyces sp. GT107. RNAcentral describes it as "bacterial SSU rRNA". It matches the Rfam family "Bacterial small subunit ribosomal RNA", at positions 162 to 507 of the family's 1533-position model. The record is from RNAcentral. Lineage: Bacteria; Bacillati; Actinomycetota; Actinomycetes; Kitasatosporales; Streptomycetaceae.
UCUAAUACCGGAUACGACYACCGACCGCAUGGUCUGGUGGUGGAAAGCUCCGGCGGUGAAGGAUGAGCCCGCGGCCUAUCAGCUUGUUGGUGGGGUGAUGGCCUACCAAGGCGACGACGGGUAGCCGGCCUGAGAGGGCGACCGGCCACACUGGGACUGAGACACGGCCCAGACUCCUACGGGAGGCAGCAGUGGGGAAUAUUGCACAAUGGGCGAAAGCCUGAUGCAGCGACGCCGCGUGAGGGAUGACGGCCUUCGGGUUGUAAACCUCUUUCAGCAGGGAAGAAGCGAAAGUGACGGUACCUGCAGAAGAAGCGCCGGCUAACUACGUG